This 433-nucleotide ribosomal RNA is filed under the name uncultured bacterium. RNAcentral's name for it is "partial 16S ribosomal RNA". It matches the Rfam family "Bacterial small subunit ribosomal RNA", at positions 29 to 507 of the family's 1533-position model. The record is from RNAcentral.
AACGAACGCUGGCGGCAUGCCUAACACAUGCAAGUCGAACGAGACCUUCGGGUCUAGGGGCGCACGGGGGCGUAACGCGUGGGAACCUGCCCUUAGGUUCGGAAUAACUCCCCGAAAGGGGUGCUAAUACCGGAUAAUGUCUUCGGACCAAAGAUUUAUCGCCUUUGGAUGGGCCCGCGUUGGAUUAGCUAGUUGGUAGGGUAAAAGCCUACCAAGGCGACGAUCCAUAGCUGGUCUGAGAGGAUGAUCAGCCACACUGGGACUGAGACACGGCCCAGACUCCUACGGGAGGCAGCAGUGGGGAAUAUUGGACAAUGGGCGAAAGCCUGAUCCAGCAAUGCCGCGUGAGUGAUGAAGGCCUUAGGGUUGUAAAGCUCUUUUACCCGGGAUGAUAAUGACAGUACCGGGAGAAUAAGCUCCGGCUAACUCCGUG